Molecule: long non-coding RNA, 2565 nt
Organism: Apis cerana (Asiatic honeybee)
Lineage: Eukaryota; Metazoa; Arthropoda; Insecta; Hymenoptera; Apidae
Source: RefSeq, a predicted model, not a curated record
UCUCAAGACAGAUGCCGUUGCAAUCUUGAGAACUGCACAAUUUGGCAAAAACAUAAAAAGUGAAGUGGAUAAACAGCAAAGUUAUGUUGAAUUCAUUGGAUUCUAGGUGCGGUCGCGACCAAAGAUCCGUUAUGAUCCCACCUAAUGCAAACGCUCCAGCGAGUAAGAGGAUCGCAAACUUUGAACAUCACAUUUUAACUAGUACUAUACAUAUUGCAGUGUAUACAUGUCGCAUGAUGGAAUGAUGUUUUCUUCUAUCAUUUAAAGAAAUAUCCAAUAUUACUGUAAAUGUUUAUAGCUGCAUAUAUUAGAAGUACUUCUUCAGAAAUUUACUUAUAUACAUUAUUUAUGUGAUAAAGGUCAUCAGUUGUAUUUAGAAAAGAAUAUUCAAGUUUAUCAUUAGAAGAGUAAAAAUAGAAAAUCAAACUGCAAUCUGCUAUCUUUUAACAUUUGCACGGUUCAAAUUUCAAUAUAAAAUGCAACAUCGUUAUACUUGAGAAAUAAUCGCAACAAUGUGCGUGAUUCUAAGUAAAAUUACCCAGCUGACUAGACAUCCAACUGACAAUUAUUCGAGUUUUCAUCUUUACGUAAUCGUCGCGAUCGCGCGUGGCCACAAACCAUAGGAUAGGCGAGGCAAGAAGAAAGAGGAAGCGAGAUAUCGGAUUUAGGCCGCCGUUCCAAACAACAAUAUAUAUGUUGAUGCAUGUAUGUAUGUAUGUACGUAUGUAUGUAGAGGUGAAGCGGUCUCUGGACUAGGCAAGCUGAGCGAAAGAGCUGUGGCAAGGUCUAGGCUGGCUAGCAUUCAAGGUCGCAUGCACAGCGCAAAAGCCCCCGGAUCUAUCCCCGCUCCAGAUUUCUAGCGCCCUUUGCCUCUUCACCUUCUUUGUCGCUCUCACAUAUGCGUAACACAUUUUACUUUCCUCUCUCUUUCCCUCUUUCUCUCACUCCUCUAUCGUUUCUCCCUUCUCCUCGGUCAAUCGAGUCUCCUCUUGCUCUUUCCUGUAAUACACUCUCGCUCCCUCCUGUUCCUCUCAUUCCAUCCUCCUCCCUCUUUCUCUCAGCCCCUUCCUAAUCGCCUGCUAUUCCCCUCUCACGCCGCUUUGCCCUUUCCGCGUGCAACAUCGAUUUACUCAUAAAAAUUCCCCGCGUUCAACUUUAUCACUCGUCUAUUACUUCCUGGUCGAUGUUCGACGUCUCUCGUUCUCAAAUUUAUCGUUGUAAUAAAUGCAACAAAAGCAUGAUCGAUUCGUGGGGUAAUUUAGCAGCAAUGCCUGACGUUACUUGAAUUGCUUAUUUACAUGUCUUCUCAUGCAUUCGCAUAUACAUAUAUGCGGAGUAGGCACGUGUAUUAUUGACACGCGCGACUUGCCAGCUAGGUAUAAAGAGGAACAAGGAUGCGCUGAGUCUAGUAAAGAAACGGAAUCUCUGACUCGAAGGCGCAAAUUCAAACUUGCUUUGUCCCGCAAAUUUAUAUGAAUAAAGUAGUAACAUGGAAUGAAAAAUAGUUUUGUGGAAUUCUUAUCUGAAUAAAUGGUUCGUGUUUAAAGAUAAUUACACAAAGUAAUUACACAAAGAUCAAAUUCAGCAUAUGAUUAUAAAUAUCAAGUAACUUAUACGUAUAACUAUAUUAUGAUUGAACAAUAUGCAAUGCUUAUUGUAAAGUUAUUUAUUAGAAUAUAGAGAAAUUCAAUGGUUAAUAUCAAAAAUAUCAAUAUCAAAUCUUUAAAUGUUCUUACAUCUUUAUAACUAUGAAUAUUAUAUAUUGCAUAAUGUUUAUUAUGAUAUAAUUUAAUAGUAGAUAACGUUUUAUUUUAUUUAUCUAUUUCCAUUUAUUUGUCUUUUCCUCUCAAAAGCAGAAAGGAAACUGAGUAGGAUGUUGGAUAUCUCCUCUUCAAGCACAAUACACAACUUGUUGAAAUUUACUUGUAGUAAACAAAGGGCCAAUGUAUAUUAUCAUGACGGUAUCUUCAAAAAUGGAAUUUUCAUCCAUAAGAAACAUAUUAUAAGCGAGAUGAAGUUUAUUGUAACGUAUAUAUAUCACUUCAUUUCAAUAUGAAUUAUUUGUUAUGUAAAUUCUUACAGAAUAGAAUGCCAGAAUAUAGAUUUCGCCAUUAUUUAUCUCUCCAAAAAAUUUUACUAAUAUUCCGAAUAUACUUAAUCAAUCUAGAUAUUAUAGCCACGAUGUUCCAACACGAUUCCAUAUAUUCCGUUGACCUAGAUUAGACAUUAAGCGAAGAGAUUCGCAUUCCCCGUUUCCCUCCAAGCAUGAUGCCGUUGAAAGAAACAGAUACAUCAACGCGCGUUUUAUAACCGCGAAACGAGUCCUGUGAUCCGACAAACAGGCGUAGUAGCAUUUUAGCGACGCAAAAAUGCAAGGUGAAACUAGAUUUCCGAGUAGGUUAAUAUGGAAGCUGAGCAAAGAAUUCCUUGUCGCAGGACUCGCGGCCACUCCCAUAGAGAAAAAUAGAGAUAGAGACUGUAAGAAACAAAGAUGGAAGUGUGAAAUAGAGUGUAUGGAAUAGUCUGUGAAAAAGAGAGAUCAAUAAAUAAUUUUGAACUAGUGAA